RNAcentral lists this ribosomal RNA (253 nucleotides) under uncultured bacterium. Its description in RNAcentral is "partial 16S ribosomal RNA". It matches the Rfam family "Bacterial small subunit ribosomal RNA", at positions 524 to 776 of the family's 1533-position model. The record is from RNAcentral.
UACGUAGGGGGCAAGCGUUGUCCGGAUUUAUUGGGCGUAAAGAGCGUGUAGGCGGCUUGGCAAGUCCGCUGUGAAAACUCGAGGCUCAACCUCGAGACGUCGGUGGAAACCGUAUGGCUAGAGUCCGGAAGAGGAGAGUGGAAUUCCUGGUGUAGCGGUGAAAUGCGCAGAUAUCAGGAAGAACACCCGUGGCGAAGGCGGCUCUCUGGGACGGUACUGACGCUGAGACGCGAAAGCGUGGGGAGCGAACAGG